CAGAAAUCUUCACCAUGGCUGAUUUUAGGACUGUCAGCAAAAGAGUCUUUGCAAGAAUCCAAUGUAGAUAAACUUCCUAUUUUUAUGUCACCCUGUUUACUUGGCCACUGGCCGAGAAGAUACCAGCACUCCAGACUCCAGGUGCUGGACACCCCUUACAGGUUUAUCACAAACAUGUAUCCAAUAUAGUACUUUGUAGAACUGUGCAACCAAGGCCUCUGGCCUUGAGCUGGGCUUCACAGAGAUGUCUACAUUUUUAAGGUAAGUUAAUAACUGGGCUCCAUGGUGACAGCUGGCAGGGGAGGAAAGAGAGGGGAGAAGAAGCUCUCCCCUUCUCAGGUGUUGUCCUUGAAGAGUUAACUUGCCCAGAACAGAGAGAGAAAAAGCUGCUUUUAUGUGAACUUCUGCAGACUGUGAACUUCUGAGCCCCUCCCCUUACACGCUGGAUAUAAAACUCCGAAACUCCCUGAACUCGGGGUUCAGGGGAUUGACUGAUUACAGCAAAAGCUGUGCCCCCUGAACCUGGCUGCAGCCAAAUAAAACUGUUUCCUGCUGUCUUGGGUGCCCUGCCUCGGCUGUCCCUACAACAUGACUGCAGGUGAAGGAUGCUAAUCGGGUGGUGUUUUUGCUGGACCUUAACCCCAAGUUCCUAGACCCACCUUCCCCACUUCUCCCCGCUACCCGCCGUCCCCCUCCUCUAUCUCAGUGACCGCCUAGCCACGGAGACUUCCGCUCUGCACUUUGAAGUGUUGUCCUCCUGCUUCUCCCUCCUCCCGCCAUCCCUGGGAUGCCCCUUCCUGCCGCCUCCGGUCCUGGUCUCUGGCAGCUGCUGUUGACUGGUGGCUCCUAGUGCUGCUGUGCUCUCCUGAUGUCCCUCCAUUGUCUGCCCUGCCACACUAACUCCUUCAGUGCCCACAUUCCCUGUCAUUUCUCCCUAAUAUCAGCCUCAUGUGGAAGCCAGCAUUCAUCAUUGAUGGGGUGUGAUGUCCACUCGCCGGGGACUUUCUUGUGAUAAGUGUCAGUUUUGGCCAUUCCAUCUCCAGCGCCCCCCGCCCUCACCGUUCACCCCGAGUGGGUCUUUGCUAAACGCUGGCUGGAAAGGAUUCUUCCUUCCAAACACCACCUGGAGCGACACUUCCCUUGCUUAAGGGGAACAAGCACCACUGGGCUCCCAGAGCCAUGAGCAUCUGUGAUUUUGAGACCUGGGGACGUGGCCCUCAGAACCUCUCCUUCCUUUGGGCUGUGAUGUGAAUUCUUGGACUUGAGCAACCCCACCCAUG
This 1280-nucleotide long non-coding RNA is filed under the name Marmota monax (woodchuck). Lineage: Eukaryota; Metazoa; Chordata; Mammalia; Rodentia; Sciuridae. The record is from RNAcentral.